GAUGAACGCUGACAGAAUGCUUAACACAUGCAAGUCAACUUGAAUUUGGGUUUUUAACUUAGAUUUGGGUGGCGGACGGGUGAGUAACGCGUAAAGAACUUGCCUCACAGCUAGGGACAACAUUUAGAAAUGAAUGCUAAUACCUGAUAUUAUGAUUUUAAGACAUCUUAGAAUUAUGAAAGCUAUAUGCACUGUGAGAGAGCUUUGCGUCCCAUUAGCUAGUUGGAGAGGUAACAGCUCACCAAGGCGAUGAUGGGUAGCCGGCCUGAGAGGGUGAACGGCCACAAGGGGACUGAGACACGGCCCUUACUCCUACGGGAGGCAGCAGUGGGGAAUAUUGGACAAUGGACCGCGAGUCUGAUCCAGCAAUUCUGUGUGCACGAUGAAGUUUUUCGGAAUGUAAAGUGCUUUCAGUUGGGAAGAAAAAAAUGACGGUACCAACAGAAGAAGUGACGGCUAAAUACGUGCCAGCAGCCGCGGUAAUACGUAUGUCACGAGCGUUAUCCGGAUUUAUUGGGCGUAAAGCGCGUCUAGGUGGUUAUGUAAGUCUGAUGUGAAAAUGCAGGGCUCAACUCUGUAUUGCGUUGGAAACUGUAUAACUAGAGUACUGGAGAGGUAAGCGGAACUACAAGUGUAGAGGUGAAAUUCGUAGAUAUUUGUAGGAAUGCCGAUGGGGAAGCCAGCUUACUGGACAGAUACUGACGCUAAAGCGCGAAAGCGUGGGUAGCAAACAGG
RNAcentral lists this ribosomal RNA (735 nucleotides) under uncultured Fusobacterium sp. RNAcentral describes it as "bacterial SSU rRNA". It matches the Rfam family "Bacterial small subunit ribosomal RNA", at positions 28 to 776 of the family's 1533-position model. Lineage: Bacteria; Fusobacteriati; Fusobacteriota; Fusobacteriia; Fusobacteriales; Fusobacteriaceae. The record is from RNAcentral.